This 459-nucleotide ribosomal RNA is filed under the name uncultured bacterium. RNAcentral describes it as "partial 16S ribosomal RNA". It matches the Rfam family "Bacterial small subunit ribosomal RNA", at positions 29 to 507 of the family's 1533-position model. The record is from RNAcentral.
AACGAACGCUGGCGGCAGGCCUAACACAUGCAAGUCGAGCGAGGACUUCGGGCUUAGCGGUGGACGGGUGAGUAACGCGUGGGAACGUGCCUAUGGAUUCGGCUUAUCCCUGGGGAACACGGCGUAAUACCGGAUGAACUCCCGCGGGGAACGAUUGAUCGGCGGAGGGUGGUCUAGAGAUGUCUCGGUAUAGUGGGGGGGUAGUUGGGUUUCGGUAGUUGGUGGGGUAAAGGCCUACCAAGGCGACGAUCCAUAACUGGUCUGAGAGAAUGGUCCGCCACACUGGGACUGAGACGCGGUGCAGACUACUGGGGGAGGCAGGAGUGGGGAAUCUUAGACAAUGGGGGAAGUCCUGAUCUAGCCAUGCCGGGUGAGCGAUGAAGGCCUUAGGGUUGUAAAGCUAGUUAAGCUGGGAAGAUAAUGACGGUACCAGCAGAAGAAGCCCCGGCUAACUCCGUG